Molecule: ribosomal RNA, 513 nt
Filed under: Malpolon monspessulanus (Montpellier snake)
Lineage: Eukaryota; Metazoa; Chordata; Lepidosauria; Squamata
Description: partial 16S ribosomal RNA
Rfam family: Bacterial large subunit ribosomal RNA
Source: RNAcentral
AACCUUUAGCUCUAAACCAAGUAUUAAAGGCAACGCCUGCCCAGUGAACAAUUAAACGGCCGCGGUACCCUAACCGUGCAAAGGUAGCGUAAUCACUUGUCUAUUAAUUGUAGACCCGUAUGAAAGGCAAAAUGAGGGCCUAACUGUCUCUUAUAAUUAAUCAAUUAAACUGAUCUCCCAGUACAAAAGCUGGAAUACUAACAUAAGACCAGAAGACCCUGUGAAGCUUAAACUAAACUAUUAAACCAUAUAAUAGCUCCUUUCGGUUGGGGCGACCUUGGAAAAAAAAAGAACUUCCAAACAACAUAGGCUCUUAAACCUACUUAUAAGGCCAACAAGCCAAACAACGACCCAGCAUUGCUGAUUAAUGAAACAAGUUACUCCAGGGAUAACAGCGCUAUCUUCUUCAAGAGCCCAUAUCAAAAAGAAGGUUUACGACCUCGAUGUUGGAUCAGGACAUCCUAAUGGUGCAGCCGCUAUUAAGGGUUCGUUUGUUCAACGAUUAAUAGUCCC